GUGGGGAAUUUUGGACAAUGGGCGCAAGCCUGAUCCAGCAAUGCCGCGUGCAGGAAGAAGGCCUUCGGGUUGUAAACUGCUUUUGUACGGAACGAAACGGUCCUGGCUAAUAUCCGGGGCUAAUGACGGUACCGUAAGAAUAAGCACCGGCUAACUACGUGCCAGCAGCCGCGGUAAUACGUAGGGUGCGAGCGUUAAUCGGAAUUACUGGGCGUAAAGCGUGCGCAGGCGGUGCUGUAAGACAGGCGUGAAAGCCCCGGGCUCAACCUGGGAAUUGCGCUUGUGACUGCAGUGCUGGAGUGCGGCAGAGGGGGAUGGAAUUCCGCGUGUAGCAGUGAAAUGCGUAGAUAUGCGGAGGAACACCGAUGGCGAAGGCAAUCCCCUGGGCCUGCACUGACGCUCAUGCACGAAAGCGUGGGGAGCAAACAGGAUUAGAUACCCCUGUAGUCC
Molecule: ribosomal RNA, 450 nt
Filed under: uncultured bacterium
Lineage: Bacteria
Description: partial 16S ribosomal RNA
Rfam family: Bacterial small subunit ribosomal RNA
Source: RNAcentral